GGAAAUAUAUGGUCAAGAGUAGAGAUCCUUUCUUCCUUUCAAUCCUGUUACUUGGAGUUUUUGUAUAUUUUUGAAAAGAAAUUUAGCAUACCUUUAUCCUCAUAGGUACUCUUAGAUCACUCAUUUAUCUUUUAUAUAUCUCACUGAGGCUGUUUUAAUUUGCAAAAAUUCUCAAGCAUACUUACCUUGUAUUUAUUGCCUGAUCAAAACGGGAUCCGAGGAGAGGAAUGCCAUACUCUUAGAUCAAAGACUUUGGAAAUUAAAAACUUGUCAACUCUUACUGGCAUAUUGCUUAUUAGAGGGACUAUGGGCUAUCAUUUCUUUCUUUUUCUAUCUUUUAUUUUCUUUUUCAGGUGGAUACCGAGGUACCCCUAAUUCUACUGCCGGACACUUGUCCAUUUUUUUCUUGCGAGGUUAUCGAGCACUUGCUCCUUUUUAUUUCCUCAAAAUAUCCUUAUUUUUGCAUAGCCCAUGCCUCUAACGCAAUAAUACUUCGGAAGAGUGAAUCUUUCUGAAUAAAUGUCUUGAUCUUAGGAGCAUGAUAAAUCUCUCAACAAGGGUCUAACUCAUUUUGAACAAACUCAAUACAGAGUAGAUAGAUUUUAUAAUUAUCAUGUUAAUAUUUUUAGGUUUAUCAGGCAUAUAAAACACUGAGGAUGAUAGCUAGAAUUUUUGAAUAAAUUCUCCAAGCAACAAUGAUAUCAAGAAUAAGAUACUCAUACUCUACUAUCUCACAUUCCACAAUGACUUAAGUAACACAGGUUUUAAAUUGAUUUUUUCAUAAUUUCAGAUUGUCAGGAAAUAUCACAGAGUGAGAUUAAUCAUGAUUAGAAACAUUUUAAUCUUUUUAAUUUAUCAUGUUGGAGACAAUAUUCUGUAUAUUCCAAGAUAUAAAGUGUGCAGAGUAUGUACCUGAAUCGUGGAGUGGUAUAGUCGGAGUGUGUUUGGCGUGUCGAGGGAUCUCCCCCAUACUUGCUUUCUGCUUUCUUGUAUAAAAAUAAAGUAGAGACACACAAGACAUAAUAAUAAUAAUACUCUUUAUUAAUCCUGAGGCAUUUAUUACAAAUGACUAGUAGCAAACUGACGAUAACAGUAAAUCUAAACCGAAUUUAAAGAUAAAUAACUAAGAUGCAUUGCCUCAAGAUCUAAUCUAGAUAACUUAGCGGCGCUCUAACUCCCUGAUCUUCUUAUUGGCACUAGCAAGAUCAUGCC
RNAcentral lists this long non-coding RNA (1212 nucleotides) under Sorghum bicolor (sorghum). RNAcentral describes it as "long non-coding RNA (SBIC_LNC006925)". The record is from RNAcentral. Lineage: Eukaryota; Viridiplantae; Streptophyta; Magnoliopsida; Poales; Poaceae.